Long non-coding RNA from Numida meleagris (helmeted guineafowl), 1277 nucleotides. RefSeq lists it as uncharacterized. The record is from RefSeq and is a predicted model, not a curated record. The transcript is spliced from 2 exons. Lineage: Eukaryota; Metazoa; Chordata; Aves; Galliformes; Numididae.
AUUAUGAAGCUGAGUGGUAGAGUUCACUACUUUGGUCCCUGUGGGAUGUGGUGAAUAUGGAUUUGCAUGUGGAAAAAAUGGACAUAAUAAUAGUUUGUUAUCCAAAUUUGGGAAGGGAAGAGUCAGAGGCAGUACUUGGAGGUGCCUCAUCAAAAUACAUCUUUGUCCCUGGCCCUCCCUGCCUUCCUACAAAUCACCUGGUUUUUCUGAGUUGCAGGUGUGUUAUAUCUUACAGCACUGUUCACUACCCACCAGCAUUGGCAGCCCUUCUUCUGAGCUCGAAGGGAAGCAUGGCCCUGACUCCCCAGAUCUUGAGAUCUCAGAAAAGAGUGAAAAUGCCUUAUGGCUCUGUGACUGAGGGGGUCAGGCCAUAGGGUAGCAUGAGAAGGCUGUUGCAAUGUGGAAAGGGAAGGUCUUCAAAUCCAGAUUUGAUCUUCAGGACUGCGCAAUUGGAGCUAUCCUGGUGUUGCAGCAUUGCUGGUACAAAGAGAAGGAGCACACACACCUCCUGGGGUGGUGCUGUGGUGAAGGCAGGGGAGGCAGCUGUCACUCUGCUGGACCACCAGGAGCAGCUGUGCUGGAUCAGAAGAAAAGUCAAAGAAAAGGCCACGUGAGUCAGCGUCCCCAUCUCUGGAAGCUGCCAGCAGUGGAUUCACAUGAAAAGUCUAUAAGGAACAGGGCAAGCCUGGAGAGGAUACCUCUUAAGAAACCUUCACUGCAUACGACCAUAGGAACUUCCUGCAGCAGAGCUUAUUUUGGCCUCUGGGAUUCCUCUAUGAUUACUCUGUGAUUUUAUGUUUUAUAAAUGACUGAGAUAUCCCUAUUCUAACCACAGUGAAAGCAGCGUCAGAUUCUGCAACCAGUUCAGAGACUUAACCCAGAGCCUCCUACCUCCUCUGUGCCCUGUCUCUUGCUCCUGCUCUCCAACAGUUACUACAUGCACUGUCUGCAGGAUUUCCCACUUUGUAGGAUCUGACUUCUAUCUAGCAGGUGCAAAUACUGAGUUUGCCCAGCUUGCAAACUAUGCUGACACAUUUGCAGCACUAACUACAUGUUGCAUGCUUUCUGUAGCGGGUUGUGAGAAGAGAAUGAAAGCCCACAGGAAAGAUUAGUGUAAACCUUUUUUCACAGCUUCAGGCUUCCCUUAGUGCCGUUUUAUGAGUUCAGUUGCAACAUCUCUCAUGGCAGUGGGUGCUGAUGGUACCAGUGCAAGGGAGAUAGACAUGGAAGAAGUAAGCAGUAAUUGCUUGGCCAUGUGUGAGCUGUUUGUCUUCACU